UCGGGUCGUAAAGCUCUGUUGUUAGAGAAGAACAAGUACGAGAGUAACUGCUCGUACCUUGACGGUACUAACCAGAAAGCCACGGCUAACUACGUGCCAGCAGCCGCGGUAAUACGUAGGUGGCAAGCGUUAUCCGGAAUUAUUGGGCGUAAAGCGCGCGCAGGCGGUCUCUUAAGUCUGAUGUGAAAGCCCACGGCUCAACCGUGGAGGGUCAUUGGAAACUGGGAGACUUGAGUGCAGGAGAGAAAAGUGGAAUUCCACGUGUAGCGGUGAAAUGCGUAGAGAUGUGGAGGAACACCAGUGGCGAAGGCGGCUUUUUGGCCUGUAACUGACGCUGAGGCGCGAAAGCGUGGGGAGCAAACAGGAUUAGAUACCCUGGUAGUCCACGCCGUAAACGAUGAGUGCUAGGUGUUGGGGGGUUCCACCCUCAGUGCUGAAGUUAACACAUUAAGCACUCCGCCUGGGGAGUACGACCGCAAGGUUGAAACUCAAAGGAAUUGACGGGGGCCCGCACAAGCAGUGGAGCAUGUGGUUUAAUUCGAAGCAACGCGAAGAACCUUACCAGGUCUUGACAUCCUCUGACCACUCUAGAGAUAGAGCUUUCCCCUUCGGGGGACAGGAGUGACAGGUGGUGCAUGG
Molecule: ribosomal RNA, 639 nt
Filed under: Fictibacillus arsenicus
Lineage: Bacteria; Bacillati; Bacillota; Bacilli; Caryophanales; Fictibacillaceae
Description: bacterial SSU rRNA
Rfam family: Bacterial small subunit ribosomal RNA
Source: RNAcentral